AACGAACGCUGGCGGCAUGCCUAACACAUGCAAGUCGAACGAGACCUUCGGGUCUAGUGGCGCACGGGUGCGUACCGCGUGGGAACCUGCCCUUAGGUUCGGAAUACCUCCCCGAAAGGGGCGCUAAUACCGGAUAAUGUCUUCGGACCAAAGAUUUAUCGCCUUUGGAUGGGCCCGCGUUGGGUUAGCUAGUUGGUAGGGUAAAAGCCUACCAAGGCGACGAUCCAUAGCUGGUCUGAGAGGAUGAUCAGCGACACUGGGACUGAGACACAGCCCCGACUCGUACGCGAGGAAGACGUAGGGAGUAAUAUGCAAUGGGCGGAAUCCUGAACCAGCGGGGCGACGUGGGUGAGGAAGCGGUUAGGGUUGUAAAGCUGUUUUAAACGAGAUGAUAAUGACAGUAACGGGAAAAUAAGCGACGGCUAACUCCGUG
Molecule: ribosomal RNA, 433 nt
Filed under: uncultured bacterium
Lineage: Bacteria
Description: partial 16S ribosomal RNA
Rfam family: Bacterial small subunit ribosomal RNA
Source: RNAcentral